RNAcentral lists this ribosomal RNA (534 nucleotides) under Triticum aestivum (bread wheat). Its description in RNAcentral is "partial small subunit ribosomal RNA". The record is from RNAcentral. Lineage: Eukaryota; Viridiplantae; Streptophyta; Magnoliopsida; Poales; Poaceae.
AUGGAGACGCAGUCUGAGGGCGGUUUCGAUGGAGUUAAAGCGGCGGGGGCUGGCCAGGAGAAGGAGGUGGUAGAUGGGGCGGAUGUUGGAAGUGAUGAGAGGGCGAGGGUGGAAGAUCGGGAGAAGGAAGAUGAGGAGGAAUUCGGCCAUCUGGGUCCAGAUCCAAACCUGGAAGAUGCGUUCGAAGGCAUGAACCUGCAUGGGGAGGAAGAAGAAGACCUAGACCUGUCUGAAGAGGUGGAUGAUCUGAUUAGGGAUGUGCGUUGGUUGGCUCUGUUUAGGGUUCAUACGAUGAGACCGUUUAGCCAUGCGGCGUUGCUAAAUUCGAUGAGGAAUGCGUGGACAUGCGUGCAAGGGGUCACUUUCAAUAUCAAGGGUCCGAAUCUGUUCUUGGCUCAAUGCCAUUGUCUUGGCGAUUGGAAGAGGGUAAUGGAGGGUGGUCCUUGGCAGUUUCGAAGGGAUCCUGUGAUUCUUGUUGAAUAUGAUGGCUUUACCGAUGUGACGGAGUAUGCACUGGACAUGUAUCCGCUAUGG